RNAcentral lists this ribosomal RNA (275 nucleotides) under uncultured eukaryote. RNAcentral's name for it is "partial 18S ribosomal RNA". It matches the Rfam family "Eukaryotic small subunit ribosomal RNA", at positions 594 to 945 of the family's 1831-position model. The record is from RNAcentral.
AUAGCGUAUAUUAAAGUUGUUGCAGUUAAAAAGCUCGUAGUUGGAUUUCAAGGGAUGCAGCGUGGAUACACGUGUGCGCCCUACCAGUCUUUGACUGUUACUGUGAGAAAAUUAGAGUGUUUCAAGCAGGCUGUUGCAGGAAUACAUUAGCAUGGAAUAACGAAUGUGUCUAGAAUCUUGGUUAAUUCUAGAUUACGAUUAAUAGGGACAGUUGGGGGCAUUAGUAUUUAAUUGUCAGAGGUGAAAUUCUUGGAUUUGUUAAAGACUAACGUAUG